Molecule: ribosomal RNA, 1364 nt
Filed under: Halomonas sp. PM4
Lineage: Bacteria; Pseudomonadati; Pseudomonadota; Gammaproteobacteria; Oceanospirillales; Halomonadaceae
Description: bacterial SSU rRNA
Rfam family: Bacterial small subunit ribosomal RNA
Source: RNAcentral
GGAAGCUUGCUUCAGGCGUCGAGCGGCGGACGGGUGAGUAAUGCAUAGGAAUCUGCCCGAUAGUGGGGGAUAACCUGGGGAAACUCAGGCUAAUACCGCAUACGUCCUACGGGAGAAAGCAGGGGAUCUUCGGACCUUGCGCUAUCGGAUGAGCCUAUGUCGGAUUAGCUAGUUGGUGAGGUAACGGCUCACCAAGGCCGCGAUCCGUAGCUGGUCUGAGAGGAUGAUCAGCCACAUCGGGACUGAGACACGGCCCGAACUCCUACGGGAGGCAGCAGUGGGGAAUAUUGGACAAUGGGCGAAAGCCUGAUCCAGCCAUGCCGCGUGUGUGAAGAAGGCCCUCGGGUUGUAAAGCACUUUCAGUGGGGAAGAAAUCCUCAGGGCCAAUACCCCUGAGGGAGGACAUCACCCACAGAAGAAGCACCGGCUAACUCCGUGCCAGCAGCCGCGGUAAUACGGAGGGUGCAAGCGUUAAUCGGAAUUACUGGGCGUAAAGCGCGCGUAGGCGGCGUGAUCAGCCGGUUGUGAAAGCCCCGGGCUCAACCUGGGAACGGCAUCCGGAACUGUCACGCUAGAGUGCAGGAGAGGAAGGUAGAAUUCCCGGUGUAGCGGUGAAAUGCGUAGAGAUCGGGAGGAAUACCAGUGGCGAAGGCGGCCUUCUGGACUGACACUGACGCUGAGGUGCGAAAGCAUGGGUAGCAAACAGGAUUAGAUACCCUGGUAGUCCAUGCCGUAAACGAUGUCGACUAGCCGUUGGGGUCCUUGUGACCUUUGUGGCGCAGUUAACGCGAUAAGUCGACCGCCUGGGGAGUACGGCCGCAAGGUUAAAACUCAAAUGAAUUGACGGGGGCCCGCACAAGCGGUGGAGCAUGUGGUUUAAUUCGAUGCAACGCGAAGAACCUUACCUACUCUUGACAUCGUGCGAACUUUCCAGAGAUGGAUUGGUGCCUUCGGGAACGCACAGACAGGUGCUGCAUGGCCGUCGUCAGCUCGUGUUGUGAAAUGUUGGGUUAAGUCCCGUAACGAGCGCAACCCCUAUCCCUAUUUGCCAGCGAUUCGGUCGGGAACUCUAGGGAGACUGCCGGUGACAAACCGGAGGAAGGUGGGGAUGACGUCAGGUCAUCAUGGCCCUUACGAGUAGGGCUACACACGUGCUACAAUGGCCGGUACAAAGGGUUGCGAAGCCGCGAGGUGUAGCUAAUCCCGAAAAGCCGGUCUCAGUCCGGAUCGGAGUCUGCAACUCGACUCCGUGAAGUCGGAAUCGCUAGUAAUCGUGAAUCAGAAUGUCACGGUGAAUACGUUCCCGGGCCUUGUACACACCGCCCGUCACACCAUGGGAGUGGACUGCACCAGAAGUGGUUAGC